RNAcentral lists this ribosomal RNA (1444 nucleotides) under Streptococcus thermophilus. RNAcentral's name for it is "bacterial SSU rRNA". It matches the Rfam family "Bacterial small subunit ribosomal RNA". Lineage: Bacteria; Bacillati; Bacillota; Bacilli; Lactobacillales; Streptococcaceae. The record is from RNAcentral.
GCGGGGGGCUAGUACCUGCAGUAGAACGCUGAAGAGAGGAGCUUGCUCUUCUUGGAUGAGUUGCGAACGGGUGAGUAACGCGUAGGUAACCUGCCUUGUAGCGGGGGAUAACUAUUGGAAACGAUAGCUAAUACCGCAUAACAAUGGAUGACACAUGUCAUUUAUUUGAAAGGGGCAAUUGCUCCACUACAAGAUGGACCUGCGUUGUAUUAGCUAGUAGGUGAGGUAAUGGCUCACCUAGGCGACGAUACAUAGCCGACCUGAGAGGGUGAUCGGCCACACUGGGACUGAGACACGGCCCAGACUCCUACGGGAGGCAGCAGUAGGGAAUCUUCGGCAAUGGGGGCAACCCUGACCGAGCAACGCCGCGUGAGUGAAGAAGGUUUUCGGAUCGUAAAGCUCUGUUGUAAGUCAAGAACGGGUGUGAGAGUGGAAAGUUCACACUGUGACGGUAGCUUACCAGAAAGGGACGGCUAACUACGUGCCAGCAGCCGCGGUAAUACGUAGGUCCCGAGCGUUGUCCGGAUUUAUUGGGCGUAAAGCGAGCGCAGGCGGUUUGAUAAGUCUGAAGUUAAAGGCUGUGGCUCAACCAUAGUUCGCUUUGGAAACUGUCAAACUUGAGUGCAGAAGGGGAGAGUGGAAUUCCAUGUGUAGCGGUGAAAUGCGUAGAUAUAUGGAGGAACACCGGUGGCGAAAGCGGCUCUCUGGUCUGUAACUGACGCUGAGGCUCGAAAGCGUGGGGAGCGAACAGGAUUAGAUACCCUGGUAGUCCACGCCGUAAACGAUGAGUGCUAGGUGUUGGAUCCUUUCCGGGAUUCAGUGCCGCAGCUAACGCAUUAAGCACUCCGCCUGGGGAGUACGACCGCAAGGUUGAAACUCAAAGGAAUUGACGGGGGCCCGCACAAGCGGUGGAGCAUGUGGUUUAAUUCGAAGCAACGCGAAGAACCUUACCAGGUCUUGACAUCCCGAUGCUAUUUCUAGAGAUAGAAAGUUACUUCGGUACAUCGGUGACAGGUGGUGCAUGGUUGUCGUCAGCUCGUGUCGUGAGAUGUUGGGUUAAGUCCCGCAACGAGCGCAACCCUUAUUGUUAGUUGCCAUCAUUCAGUUGGGCACUCUAGCGAGACUGCCGGUAAUAAACCGGAGGAAGGUGGGGAUGACGUCAAAUCAUCAUGCCCCUUAUGACCUGGGCUACACACGUGCUACAAUGGUUGGUACAACGAGUUGCGAGUCGGUGACGGCGAGCUAAUCUCUUAAAGCCAAUCUCAGUUCGGAUUGUAGGCUGCAACUCGCCUACAUGAAGUCGGAAUCGCUAGUAAUCGCGGAUCAGCACGCCGCGGUGAAUACGUUCCCGGGCCUUGUACACACCGCCCGUCACACCACGAGAGUUUGUAACACCCGAAGUCGGUGAGGUAACCUUUUGGAGCCAGCCGCCUAAGUGACAGAG